UCGGGGACGCGGUGACAGGUGCUGCAUGGCUGUCGUCAGCUCGUGUCGUGAGAUGUUGGGUUAAGUCCCGCAACGAGCGCAACCCUCGUCCUUAGUUGCCAUCAUUCAGUUGGGCACUCUAAGGAAACCGCCGGUGAUAAGCCGGAGGAAGGUGGGGAUGACGUCAAGUCCUCAUGGCCCUUACACGCUGGGCUACACACGUGCUACAAUGGCGGUGACAGUGGGCAGCAAACUCGCGAGGGUGAGCUAAUCUCCAAAAGCCGUCUCAGUUCGGAUUGUUCUCUGCAACUCGAGAGCAUGAAGGCGGAAUCGCUAGUAAUCGCGGAUCAGCAUGCCGCGGUGAAUACGUUCCCAGGCCUUGUACACACCGCCCGUCACACCAUGGGAGUUGGUUUCACCCGAAGGCAGUGCGCUAACCGCAAGGGGGCAGCUGACCACGGUGGGAUCAGCGACUGGGGUGAAGUCGUAACAAGGUAACC
RNAcentral lists this ribosomal RNA (479 nucleotides) under uncultured bacterium. RNAcentral describes it as "bacterial SSU rRNA". It matches the Rfam family "Bacterial small subunit ribosomal RNA", at positions 1020 to 1501 of the family's 1533-position model. The record is from RNAcentral.